Molecule: long non-coding RNA, 890 nt
Filed under: Gossypium barbadense (sea-island cotton)
Lineage: Eukaryota; Viridiplantae; Streptophyta; Magnoliopsida; Malvales; Malvaceae
Description: long non-coding RNA (GBAR_LNC019422)
Source: RNAcentral
AUCAGAUGUCAUGUCAUGUCAUGUAAUGUAUGUUUUAACCAUUUAUGUCAUGUUUGAUUCCAAAUCCAUCCCCUGUCUGCUACUCGAUGCUCUGGUGAUGAGUCACGUCAACUCAAUCGCAGGGUACGUCACGUCCCUUACCAUACGCAUGUACCAUACAGGCACAAAUGGUAUGGAUGUCAUGUAAAUUUUUUCUGGUGAGAUUGUCUUGUUGUGACAAUGGACUGCACAUGGCCAAGGGGGAAACCCAUCUUUCUGCACCAAUUCAAUGGCGUGUGUAGCAGGUUUUCCUGGCAUUCAAUAAAAUUGAUAUGCCAAAAGUGAACCACUUGUUUUAUUUUGCUUUUUAUCAUCCAUGGAAAUUGGCAAAACUAACUGAAAAUUUUAGUAGAUGAUUUAGGGUUAAACCCAUUAAAACAAUAUAAAAUUUGAUUUUAGAAGGGUUGAAUAAAUAAAUUGAAGUCAACUCAAAACAGCAAGAAGAUGAAGAUAUAUAUGAUAAAGAAAAGAAUGAUAAUGACAACUUGUUGAUUUCUUACCUCACAAGGUCCAUGAAAACACAAAGAGACAACAAGAUAAAAGGGUUUUCAUCUUUUGAUCUUAAAAUCAAAAAGACCCAAGUCAGAAAUAGGGCUUUCAAGUAGAACAAUCAUGAACAUCUCCUAAUUACCAUUUUCCAUGCAAUUAAUUCACCAAAGGCCAUCAAAGCACAUGACACCUAACCUAACACACAGUCCUUUUCAUUUCAUCUAAACUAGAAAACUUUCUAAGACCCUCCAUCAGACACAAAAAUAAAAACUAUUUAAAAAACAAAAAACAAAAUUUCAGCUCUCAUUUUCAAGCUUUUAUGGGACUAAUGGGGAGUAAAGAAAAGGUGGGGAGGAGUUAAU